This is a long non-coding RNA of Hibiscus syriacus, 149 nucleotides long. RefSeq lists it as uncharacterized. The record is from RefSeq and is a predicted model, not a curated record. NCBI's taxonomy places the organism in Eukaryota, Viridiplantae, Streptophyta, Magnoliopsida, Malvales, Malvaceae. The transcript has 3 exons.
GGGUACUCAUCGAUUACUCGACUGAUCAAAUCGAACUCCGCUUCUAGAUUGUCCGACCAUACUUCCCUUAUCUUCACAUGUCUUGUAACCCUGUCUGAAUCAUCAAACCCCAUGGUGAGAAAGAAAGAAAGAAAGAAGAACAAUUUUGG